Molecule: ribosomal RNA, 506 nt
Filed under: uncultured bacterium
Lineage: Bacteria
Description: partial 16S ribosomal RNA
Rfam family: Bacterial small subunit ribosomal RNA
Source: RNAcentral
AGUGAACGCUGGCGGUAGGCCUAACACAUGCAAGUCGAACGGCAGCACAGAGGAGCUUGCUCCUUGGGUGGCGAGUGGCGGACGGGUGAGGAAUACAUCGGAAUCUACUCUGUCGUGGGGGAUAACGUAGGGAAACUUACGCUAAUACCGCAUACGAACUACGGGUGAAAGCAGGGGAUCUUCGGACCUUGCGCGAUUGAAUGAGCCGAUGUCGGAUUAGCUAGUUGGCGGGGUAAAGGCCCACCAAGGCGACGAUCCGUAGCUGGUCUGAGAAGAUGAUCAGCCACACUGGAACUGAGACACGGGCCAGACUCCUACGGGAGGCAGCAGUGGGGAAUAUUGGACAAUGGGCGCAAGCCUGAUCCAGCCAUACCGCGUGGGUGAAGAAGGCCUUCGGGUUGUAAAGCCCUUUUGUUGGGAAAGAAAUCCAUCUGGUUAAUACCCGGGUGGGAUGACGGUACCCAAAGAAUAAGCACCGGCUAACUUCGUGCCAGCCGCCGCCGUAA